Molecule: ribosomal RNA, 98 nt
Filed under: uncultured bacterium
Lineage: Bacteria
Description: partial 16S ribosomal RNA
Rfam family: Bacterial small subunit ribosomal RNA
Source: RNAcentral
CACACCGCCCGUCACACCAUGGGAGUUGGUUUGACCUGAAGACGGUGCGCUAACCCGCAAGGGAGGCAGCCGGCCACGGUCAGGUCAGCGACUGGGUG